This 72-nucleotide transfer RNA is filed under the name Camelus bactrianus (Bactrian camel). It matches the Rfam family "tRNA". Rfam says of the family: Transfer RNA (tRNA) molecules are approximately 80 nucleotides in length. Their secondary structure includes four short double-helical elements and three loops (D, anti-codon, and T loops). The record is from Rfam by way of RNAcentral. Lineage: Eukaryota; Metazoa; Chordata; Mammalia; Artiodactyla; Camelidae. RNAcentral also lists the same sequence under 1 other name.
GAGGGCAUAGCUCAAGUGGUAGAGCACUGCUUAGCAUGCAUGAGGUCCUGGGUUCAAUCCCCAGUACCUCCA